Molecule: transfer RNA, 90 nt
Filed under: Clostridia bacterium
Lineage: Bacteria; Bacillati; Bacillota; Clostridia
Description: tRNA-Ser
Rfam family: tRNA
About the family: Transfer RNA (tRNA) molecules are approximately 80 nucleotides in length. Their secondary structure includes four short double-helical elements and three loops (D, anti-codon, and T loops). Further hydrogen bonds mediate the characteristic L-shaped molecular structure. tRNAs have two regions of fundamental functional importance: the anti-codon, which is responsible for specific mRNA codon recognition, and the 3' end, to which the tRNAs corresponding amino acid is attached (by aminoacyl-tRNA synthetases). tRNAs cope with the degeneracy of the genetic code in two manners: having more than one tRNA (with a specific anti-codon) for a particular amino acid; and 'wobble' base-pairing, i.e. permitting non-standard base-pairing at the 3rd anti-codon position.
Source: RNAcentral
GACAAGAUGGCAGAGUUGGUCGAAUGCGGUAGCCUGCUAAGCUAUUGACCGCAAUUAAGCGGUCCGAGGGUUCGAAUCCCUCUCUUGUCG